RNAcentral lists this ribosomal RNA (451 nucleotides) under uncultured Pseudomonas sp. RNAcentral describes it as "bacterial SSU rRNA". It matches the Rfam family "Bacterial small subunit ribosomal RNA", at positions 930 to 1382 of the family's 1533-position model. Lineage: Bacteria; Pseudomonadati; Pseudomonadota; Gammaproteobacteria; Pseudomonadales; Pseudomonadaceae. The record is from RNAcentral.
CGGUGGAGCAUGUGGUUUAAUUCGAAGCAACGCGAAGAACCUUACCAGGCCUUGACAUGCAGAGAACUUUCCAGAGAUGGAUUGGUGCCUUCGGGAACUCUGACACAGGUGCUGCAUGGCUGUCGUCAGCUCGUGCCGUGAGAUGUUGGGUUAAGUCCGUAACGAGCGCAACCCUUGUCCUUAGUUACCAGCACGUUAUGGUGGGCACUCUAAGGAGACUGCCGGUGCAAACCGGAGGAAGGUGGGGAUGACGUCAAGUCAUCAUGGCCCUUACGGCCUGGGCUACACACGUGCUACAAUGGUCGGUACAAAGGGUUGCCAAGCCGCGAGGUGGAGCUAAUCCCAUAAAACCGAUCGUAGUCCGGAUCGCAGUCUGCAACUCGACUGCGUGAAGUCGGAAUCGCUAGUAAUCGUGAAUCAGAAUGUCACGGUGAAUACGUUCCCGGGCCUU